This 149-nucleotide small RNA is filed under the name Theobroma cacao (cacao). Its description in RNAcentral is "sRNA Tc06v2_g005720". The record is from RNAcentral. Lineage: Eukaryota; Viridiplantae; Streptophyta; Magnoliopsida; Malvales; Malvaceae.
AAAAAGUGAAGAAAUCAAGGAAACAAGCUAGGUGGUGAGACGUCCGGAAAAGGCAAAGGAAUUACGCCUGAGGACUAUUAGUCAGAGUUCACCCGGAAUCCGGAUUUUCGACACCUAUCAGGUGACUGUUGGACCCUAGAUCGAGGAGU